Molecule: ribosomal RNA, 402 nt
Filed under: uncultured bacterium
Lineage: Bacteria
Also listed under: 1 other name
Description: partial 16S ribosomal RNA
Rfam family: Bacterial small subunit ribosomal RNA
Source: RNAcentral
UGGGGAAUCUUGCACAAUGGGGGAAACCCUGAUGCAGCGACGCCGCGUGAGCGAUGAAGCCCUUCGGGGUGUAAAGCUCUUUCGGCAGGGACGAUAAUGACGGUACCUGAAGAAGAAGCUGCGGCUAACUACGUGCCAGCAGCCGCGGUAAUACGUAGGCAGCGAGCGUUGUUCGGAGUUACUGGGCGUAAAGAGUGCGUAGGCGGUUUUCUAAGUUUGGUGUGAAAUCUCCCGGCUUAACUGGGAGGGUGCGCCGAAAACUGGAAGGCUUGAGUAUGGGAGAGGUAAGCGGAAUUCCUGGUGUAGCGGUGAAAUGCGUAGAUAUCAGGAGGAACACCUGCGGUGUAGACGGCUUACUGGACCAUAACUGACGCUGAGGCACGAAAGCGUGGGUAGCAAACA